Long non-coding RNA from Vicia villosa (hairy vetch), 888 nucleotides. RefSeq lists it as uncharacterized. The record is from RefSeq and is a predicted model, not a curated record. The transcript is spliced from 3 exons. NCBI's taxonomy places the organism in Eukaryota, Viridiplantae, Streptophyta, Magnoliopsida, Fabales, Fabaceae.
CAACAUGAAGUCUUUAUUCAAGUGCAUAUAUAGUUGCCAAAAACAACAAUACUCACUACUCAAAAACCAAGUCCUUUCUCCUAACUACAUAUUUUGCAAAAGAUAGAAAUGAAUGACACUAAGAAUGCCGAUCCCAUCUCUGCUAAAGGUCCUCCGACGAUGGCACCACCUCAAUACGAUCUUCCACCACCCAAAAGUCAGAGUAGUGAAUUCUGUGAGUUCUGUAUUACAGCUCUAUGUUGUUGUUGCGUCUUAGAUGGGUGUUUCUGUGACCCUUCAAUCUUAUGUAUGAGCUGCUGCUAAAUCAUGCAAUGUGAUUUGAUAUUUAAUGCAAUGUGGACAAAUAACAAUUCUUGAGUUACAUUGGGUCCCUUAUCUUCUUAAUCAUCAACUUGGAUUUGAAUUCAAAUGUGCAAACUACUUUAUUCAACAACUGUGUGACUGGGACAGUUUGUAAUGUUUUGUAGUAGUUUCUUCUUUUAACGUUUAUGCUUAGUAAAAUUUUAGUGUUUGUACAAAGGGCUUCUUUUAAAUUGAUUUCAUUUUGCUUUUACACAAAAACUAGUGUCUUACCCGUGCGUUCGCACGGGUACCCGUCGUUUUUGCGCAAUUGUGAUUGAGGGAAAUAAAAGAUGAUAGGAAAAGUGUUAUUUUGUUCAAUAUACAUAUUAUUGUAGAAGUAAAUAUUCUAAAAAUAAAUUUGUAAAAUAUAGAAAUUUCUUUUCAAUAGGUUGGGACAAAAUUUGGGAUAUACUGGUUAAAAAACAUUAUUUUCCCCUUAAUAUUCAAUAUUUCGAUCAAUAACUUCAUGUUCCGUUAAUAUUUAAUAUUUUGAUGAAUAACUCACGUUCCCGUUAAUAUUGAAUAUUUUAUUCAGUAACUUCAUGU